UCUCAGAUGGACAGCUAGAAGUCUGCUAACAACAACAGUCUUUUACGUCUUGAAAAACGUGAUAAAAAUGAUCAUCAAAGUCAUUCAAUGUUGGAUUUAUCAUCAUGGACAUGUUGUACAAAGUCUCAGAAAAGACACCGAGGUUCCAGGCCGCGCUACGAAUCUUCUGAAAGGGCCACGAUCGCACGGAAGCCUGGAACGACACAAGUGUUAACAUCCCGUCAAAACAAACCCUGUUGAUAUCAGCCGUGGGAUCUUCAGGGAAAGCAGCCGUGAGCCAAGAUUAAAGGAGAAACUUUGCUGUGUCUCAUGGAGCAACUUGCUGUCUCUCCAGUGCAUCACUGAAUGCGAAACAGCUUACCAGGUUAUUAAGCCUCGUUGGAGGUCUGCGCACUGCAUGGAUCCACGCGCUGAAAAUGAUGUUAGUGCCUGAACCAGAUGGACUGGUGGACAUCGAAAGAGAAGCCCUAAGGUGCUGUUAAGUUUCCAAGUAAUUGUUUGGUAUUUCUUAAUGAUUUCCAGUUAUUUUAUCAUGAUUUUUGAAUAGUGGCUACUGUUGAGGAAUUUCUCUCUUCUCCUGGCGAGACUGCAAAGAAGAGUGUUUGGUUCGCCUGUGAAAGGUCAUCUUCUCCUUGGCCAAGGGUGUCAUAGUCGCAGAAUUUGUGGUUAUAGUUAAAAGGCAUCGUGCACAGCGGUAAACAUUGAACAUGCUCAGACAGAGACAGAAGGUUACUAUAGAGAUGACAUCCAGCUCAAUACUGAGCUCCUGAGUGUUUAAGAUAUCCACGGUCUCCGUCUUCCAGCGUCCACGUCUGGAUAACAAGCACAUUAAGCGGUUAAUCACUGUGAGCGAACAACAAAAAACACACCAUUUUUCCUACUACUGCACCAGUAGUUGGGAGAACACAUGCUGCAACUCUGUGAGGAAAAUUCAACUUUAGGAACAGACAUCUGUCUAGGCUAACUGAGCAAACACCUGAGCCAGGUGCAGCCUGUCAGCCUCCACCUCCUCCAUCACCACGGCUGCUUUCUGACGCUCUGCUGCCACUGAAUUCUGAAGUCUGAGACUCAUGCUUACCAACUGCCAGGACGUCAAUGUACUGCAACACUGCAGCUGCCUCUACUGAAACGGGUUAAAGUCAUUUUCAACUCACAAGAACAAGGCAAAAACAACAACAGAACAUAAUACCAUCACAUUAAGCAGGCUUUUUAAUUUAACAUCUAUAUGCCAUACUUCACACAAAAAACUUUUUUUGUGCAGACAGACUUUCAGGAAGACCUGAUGACUGACAUGUUGUUAUCCUGAGAUGACAACAGCUGAAGACUUCAUCUAUUUUAAUGUUCCCACAUUGUUCAUUGCUGCUAACGGAAUCUUCAACUGUCUUUGGAUCAACGCCACCAAGUCAUUAAGAAUUACAAGGUGGACCCCAGUGCCAAAACCAGAGGGGCUACAGCGUCUACUCUCUGUCUCUCUCUUCACCUCUCCCCACGCUAUCCCACACAUGUUAAUUUAUCAAGUUUUCUACUGAUGGCUCUGGAGAACAAGUCUGUGUAUUCUAUCACAGGCUCAGUCACCCAUUGAAAGGACUCUGAGGUGACAUCAAAAUGGUUCUUUUGAAGCCUCGUGUGUGAUCAACCCCAGGGCAUUGCUCAUCAUCGUCACUCCUAGGACUCCCCAGCUGUAAAAAAUUUGCAUUCAAAGGGGGAGAACAACACUGGGAAAAGGAAUGACAGAGACCAUACAUCCAAAUCAGCAUUUAUGAAGUCAGCUAUACAACUGCGUAUGGUGACAAAGGGGCUUCAAAUGACACUCAAUAUCAAGUGACAGAGGGAGGCAAAACAGGGCUUGUAUUAACACACAAACAACUUCCUUGACAGCUUUUAAUUGCCACCUUAACCUCUGGUGUCAGAGUCAUUUAGUCACCACAAAGGCAUCAUAUGCAAAAGCGAGGAGUAGAAGAAAAAAAAAUCCAAGCCGUGCACUGCAUCAAACUCACUUAUCCUCCUUAGCCUCUGACACUGUGUUCCCCUAUAGUGCUUUGCCAAUAAACCACUAAAACUCCCUCAAGGCUGCGGUACUCACAAGCCUGCGCUGCUGUUUUGACCCCUCUUGCUCGUUGCUGGUAACUGUGGCUCUAAUCUGGGCGAACUGUAGACAUGUAACCACAUGGCAUCACCGGUUGUUGAAAGAAGAUGACUUAACAAACUCACUCACGAUGCAAAAGAAAGGUUGGUCGCUCUUCGGAUAACCGUUGAUGUAAAGGUACGGUAUUAAAUAAUUCAGGAGUGGAAAGAUGGAAGAGACUGAAAGUCUUACUAUCAGUCCUUUUAACAAUGACCUUCAUGCUAACUAGUCAGUAAACAAAUAAGUUAUGGAAAUAGAAACAAAACAAGAUCUUUUGCUUUCCACUACUGGAUCUUUUGGCGAUGAAUUUUUUUUAUUUGAUACUGAACUAUCAAUCUCUGCCACACUUGUAAGUAAACAGCUGUUGGCGGUGUGGAAAUGGCAAAAAACAGCAACUUACAAAUCGCUUGUUUAAAAAGAGAACUACAACAAGAAGUCUAUUUAAGGCUUAGGGGAGUACUACUACAACUACAUGUGACAAUAUGUCUUAAGCAUUUUGUGGCUCAGGAGGGUGCAGAACUAAGUUUGAUAAUUUGUCUCAAGGGACGUUACAUCAUCAGUUGGUGCUGGAGACGAUAGGAUUGAAUAUGGAAACAAUCUGGGCAUGUGAAGUUAGAAAGAAUUGAGUUCAUCAGACCUCUGUGGCCCAAUUCUCCUCUCCGCUUGAGGCCGUAGUUGCCGGAGGCUACAUUAGCAACUGUGAGAAUAAUUCACUACAGUCUCUGUUGGUAGUCAAACUUUGGCUAAUGUAGGCGGCUGGUUUUGAAAAGCAAGAAAAAUGAAUUCACAACAAUGCUGAUAUAUCUGGUUCUGCUGCGGUGAUUUUCAUAGUCAAACAGGCUGGUGAAAUGUCAUGUUAAGGUGUUUGUGUCUUUGUUGGUUUGCCUUUGUACAGCCAAAUGUGAGCUACAGUAAAAAAACAUACACUAAUCAAUUUCUAGAAAGAGAGAUCUAGAAAGAAAAAGAAGACGAAGAAGCCCAGCAAAUGAUGCUCUACAUUUAGAGCUACGUUAACGUAGUACUAUAUUCCAUCAUGUGUGAUGGAAUAUGCAUCUAUUCCAAGUGGAAUGUUAAGACAUUUAAAAAAAUAUAUCGAUAGACAUGAUGAGUCCUUAUUUAGAGAUAUCAUCAAAGAGUCUGUUUGUGUUGUCAUUGGGGUUUUGAAAUUGUGCUCCAUUUUGAAUCAGUUAUGUGGACAAAAUCGAUGAGGGAGGAAAAAAAACAUUAUAUUAAAAAAAUUAACUCCUCGAUCUCAAAGCAAUCAAGAGACUUGUUCAUCACUUCAACUUAUUCAAUUUCUCUUUAUGAACAGAACAAUAAUAAAAAAAAGACAGAAAAGCAAUCAUAUAGAAAUGCUUCUGGGGAAAUCAUACAAUUUUCUGACAAUAUGCAAUUAAAAAACUGGUCAAACUGAAAAACUACGCAGAUAUAAUGCAAAAAACAAAAAGUUUAAUAAAUUUAAAAAUAUCCCCAUCUCUCUGAUGUGAACAGUAAUAUGCCAUUUAAACUAAAGUGUCCCAGAACAGGCGUUCAAUGUAGCCUGUUCCAUAUUCAUCUGUGUUUUUGGUUAGUCCUGGACAGUUCAGCAGACCAUGAUAUUUCCUUAAACUAAAUGUCAUGAAGGCAUUCAGGCAUGAAAUGUCAGACUAAUUCAGGGCACAGGCACAAAAUGUGAAGCUCGCAAAGGACUUUCUCAAAACGGCACGGAGCAAUUCAUCAAAGCGAAAAGGUGGCCCUAGUAAAGUGACGUAAAAAACAAAUGGUCUGCAGACGCAGCUCGAAUUGAUUUUGCAACAAAAAAUGUCCCUAAAAUCUAUCUCAAUUUCAAUGAAACAUUGUCGCUAACCAAUUCUUAAAACAAAAUCUAUAACUUAUGCCAUUUUAUUAUAGGUGUGUGAGAUAACACUGAGGGUAUUCUGUCCUCCAAAGAUUGUUAUUGACUGAAUAUUUGGCAGAGGACAAAUUUACAGUAACAGCAGUGAUGCACGUCAAAGGUCCCUUGGUGCCAAUAAAGAUGUCUCAGACAAAUAUUUUAUAAUACUUUCAUAUUUUAUCCUGCAACAGGUUUUCUUUUCAUUCUCCGAUUAAUUAAUGGUUUUGCCAAAAGGCUGAGUUUAAAAUAUAAACACUUAAGGAAAAGAAAAAAAAGAUUAAUAGAUCAACCAUGAAAGUUCAGUUUUUACCUCAUGGUUAUGGUCCUUUGACAAAAAAUGAUAGUACUAAUACCAUUAUCCCUGAGAAGUCAAGUCAACUUUCCUAUCAACUCAAACAGUCGCAACGAUGAAUAAUCUCUUAUCGGUGUCAGGAUUCGACGAAGACUAGUUAUUUUUAUUUAUUUGUUCAUUGUCUUUUGAUAGUUUUGACCCAGUCUCCUUCAACCAACAUCACAGCUGUAAAGGGGAAGGAUUCUAAGCCUAAAAUGAUAACGCCUCUUGUAAAUGUUCAACAUUUAUCCGUGAUAGAGGAUCCGUGCUUCAUCAUUACUAUCUGCUGCCCUACAUAUUUGGCAAUAAUUGUUGAGGCCAACAUGUCUUCCAAGACAAAUCCUAAGUAUAUGGUGGGGGGAGAGAGUGUGUGUCUUUGUGUGUGUGUAACCAAGUGAGAUUAGGUGUUAUUAUGUGUGUAGCAGAGAUAUAAGGACACAAGCGUAUGUGUGUGUGUAUGUGUGUGUGCACGCACGUGGAAGAGUGUAUAGCUUGCUCUGUCGAGAUAAUCUCAUUGUGUAGUGUGUGACGCAUCAUCCUGCUCUUAUCUCACUGUGCAUUGUGAGCACCCUAGGGAUUCACGAGUAGAUAAUCUGUGAAAUUCAGCCUCGUGCAUCAGAUUCAGUCUGGCUUUGAAAUUGGUUGAUAUUUUAAAUAGUAUAAAAUGAGCAAACAUUGCACUAAAGACAACCACUCUCAGGUGUUGUAGGCCAUUAACUGAUCAUUUAACAGAUACACAUGAGACUGUGGUGCAGUGCUUCAGACUGAAUGUUUGCAUGACCAAAGAGGCAGAUUACCACAUUCAAGAAGAGCGACAUUAUUCUAAUCAUCCAUUAUUUUCUUGUGGAUUUUCUGUUCCUGUUACACAUUUCAGUCCAAUGGAUUUUAUUUUCAAGAUGACUGUGCCGAAAAAAUAUCCAUUCAGUUUUUAUCAAUUACAUUUCCAUUUCCAAUACAUCAUUAAUGGGGUAAACUUGUUUACAGGUUGGCAAGCUUAUACCAGACUCAGCAGAUAUAUUGUUCAAGAUAUGAAGCUCUGAUCGUUUCAACUCUCAAACCAAAUACAUCGUUUACAAUUUUUAAAUCUUGUGGGGUUUAAUUCACCGUUAUAAAAUUUCUAAGAAGAUGUAACCUAAAUUAACUUAGAUAGCUAAUUUCAACCCCCUAAUCAGAUAUUACACACGUUAAAUUGGAAACAGGGACAGACUGGGUAAAUUCUAAUCAGGAUUUAUUACAGGUGCUAGACCGAAAUUAAUACUUACUGCAGGAGAUAGUCAGGGUCAAAUGUAAAGUGACAGUGAACUUUGAUUUAAUCCCUCUCAAAGCAAUUUCACAUAUCUGCAUCUCUCUCUGUGUUGCCACUAAACUACUGUGCUGAACUUUUGCCAUACAGAGUGAUAAAGAGCCUAAAAAAACCCCAUAUGAAAUUAGCCACUGAAUACUCGUUAGCCUAAACCACAACAUGCCUCAGGUACAUAGUAGGAACAAAUUCUGUUGCAUCUGGCUCAAGACACUAAAACAGAGUAUAUUAUAGAAUAGUAUUAAAUAUUAAUACCUAACGAGUGUAGCAAUUUAUAGACGAGGUGGGGUGAUAAGAACAGAUGUUAUUAUCAAGUUUGAUAAAUUAGACGAAAACUGGUCUGUCAGAUAUGCAUGAGUCAUAACACCUGACUGCAGAGUUUAGUUAAGUUAAAAGGAAAAUGAAGGAGAAAAUGUUAUGUUUCCUUAAUUAUAUAUAUAUAUAUAUAUAUGUUUAUUUAUUUAUUUCCCUGCAGGGUUUGUCUAUAGUUGUUAGAUAUACUACCUAUAAAAUAGGGAGCUGUGAUUGCUGUGAACAUCAAGCCACAUGGAGCUCUGUUGAAAAUACUGGAGUACAGUGUUGCAGUGAGGUUCAUUAUUUCUGUGUUUUGUCGGAAACCAAUAAAGUGUGGAUUAUGGACAAAUGAAUGACUGAAAAAGAAAAUCAACUAACUGGAAGGAGGCCAAGAUAUAUUCUAUCACACCCGGCAAUCUGUUUUCCUGAAAUAAACCCAUUGGGUUUUCUCUUGAUCUCAAAAUAUUGUGACCCUGUGCAGGGAAAUGAUACAAAAAUAGUGCUCCAUCCGUGCUGUCCAUUUUCAGGAUUACACCAUGUUAUUACUUUGGUCAGUGCUGGUAUCAUUCUGUGACGGCACUAAUGUCCAGGAGCUGCAGCAGCCCUCGCUGCUCUGAUGGUCACUGAUCACUGAUAGGUAUGGGGGAGAAAAUGCUGAAUCAGACAAGGGGCUUAUUUUACUGCUACAUUUGCACGGGAGAAAAAAUGUCAAUACUGGGAGACAGAGGCGGACUGAAAUGAGUAAAAUGAUCAAGAGGAGAUAUAGCAUGUUUUCAUUAGGGAGUGGCUGAUAAUAUCAGGAUUAAUCAGCAGCUUCCCUGUUGUAAUUCUCAAUAUGAACCAGAUCAAAACUGUAGAAACCAACCACAACAAAUUAUUCUAUCUGGUAUGAAUCAGUGUCACACAUCUUAGCAAAAUGUGAAAAUUUUAAUGUUUUAGCUAUGUCUGUUUCACAGCCUCUCUUUAGCUGAUAAUAUUGUAAAAGAUUUGUGUAAAUCUGGAUCAUUUAUACAAGUGUGUCAGACAUUUAAUUGUUGUUGGAGGGGGGAGUGCAUCAAGGAAGUUUGUCUUAAUCCUUGAAUCAAAAUAAAUACUGAAUGAAUCCGGCAACAGCCUUUAUAUAUAUUAUGUAUGGUGUAUUUCUCUAGCGCAUGAGUUAAGCCAAAGGAAAAAGAGCAUCAACAAAGUAAAAGCUCAGUUUCCUGUGUGUAGCGGACUAGGGCAUGCUGCUCUCACAAUGGCCAAUACACCAGGAUGGUUUGAUUUCCCUUGGGGUAUGAAAGCUAUCAUAUAAUCCGGGACUUCCUUUCAACUCCUUCCCAGUUCAAUUUAUCGAGUACAAACAGGGUUCAGAUCCUUAAGAAGAAAGACUCGAAAAAGACGAUGGAUAAAUUUAAAAAAAACAAUAAACACGUUUGAAGAGAAUGUCUAGUCUCAGAUUUAUGCUCUGCAGCAUUGACUUUAUGAUCUGCAAGACAGGAAAUCACUGAGAUGUGGAAAAUGAAUUAGUGAUUUAAAAAAAAAGAAAAUCAGGGUAGUCAAAUGUUAUGUCUGAAUUUUCAAUUAGAUUUCAUAGACUGCUCCAUUUCUGAGUACCUACUAAUGUUGCUUAUCUAUAUAAAAAUACAUUAUCUGUCCCUUUAAACCUGUAGUCUUAAAAGAUUGAGAUUAAAGGGGCAAUGUAGCAAUUUUACAUUCAAAAAUCAGUAUACUCAUUGUAUGGGCUGCUGCUUAGCCUGCAUGAAAAAAGUUCACUGUCUUCUGCAGAGAGCUGUCUGCAAAAGUAAUACUGAUGAUGUCAUCUGGGUUAUCUCAGCAUGGCUUUGGAGAUGUCAAAAGUAUAAAAGAGAGUCUGCGUUACAAACUGUGGGCAUGGAGAUUGAUAGACAUAGGUGUUGACCAGAUAAGAUGCUAUCGAGUUGAAAUGAAGGCCCCUGCUAUUUCUUGAGGCUUGGGACACACUAGAAACUAAACAGCACUCUGGCAGAUCUGUAAAAAGUCUUGAAACGCAAACAGUCUGCAGGAGGAGGAUAGCCCUUUAUCUUUGUUUCAAAGUGCUCAUUCUGAAAUCUUUCUUCUGUGAUUGUAAUUGUUUUUUUUAAUUCCUCUGUUAAAUUGUUGUUCUUAUGUUACGUUAUUGUACUACACAUUCCAUUGCAUUUAUGUUUUUGUGGAGCCACAUCAGUGAAGUGCCACUUCAUUGUCAUUCAUACUUUCAUAGUUGUCAGUCAGUCCCUGCAAAUCUUCCUGAAAAUAGUUUAAAUUUUAAAGAAAAAAUAUAUCUUCACAUUUUCAGCUCUGCAAGAGAUAGAAACGGCAAGUGUAUACACGAUCAACCUAUGCAACAUCCAAGACUGCAAGUAAAACAUCCUCCUGAAUCUGGAAACAAGACAGAUGAAAGUGGAGCGUGAACCGAAACUGCAAAGGUUUUCGCCAUAAAGCAAAAGUAAUGAGCUGAUGGACACAUAAAACCCCCAUAGAGCCAGAGGAACUGCAGAGUCGGGUGAUCUGUGAGUUUGAUGCCUUUCAAAUUACACAAAGUCAAAUUGAUUUAUUAUUACCAUGAAAAAAAAAUCUAUAUUUUCUCUUUUAUUUAAUGAAAAAUACGGCACAAUAUAUAUGCACCUCUUCAAAAUGUGUUUCAAUUAGAUAAUGUUUCUAUUUUUUUAAAUCAUUAAAAAGUCAUUUGUAGGAACACAGUUGCCAAUUCACACAUGGCCACUUGUGCCUUACGUGUAAAUGAGUUAUUUCAGUUGUGUGGAUGUUGAUGACGUUCCUGCUUGUUGCUCAUGGAGAACUACAACAGUCAAUACACACAAUAUGAAAUCGUUCUUGGCUAUGCACAUAUAAAAUAAAUAAUCUUUUACUUCUUUCAGUCGAAAUUCAGACACAUUUUUUCAGGUGUACUUAGCAAUUUAGCAUGUUUGUUAAAUGUGCAGCUUCUGCAGUUGUCACAGUUUUCAAGUCCAAAUUUAGGUCCAAGAAUAACUACAGAAAAAAAAGCGUUACAACUGUAAUGUUUCAGCUCACAGAGAAUACACAGAGAACUUUCAUAAAUGUUUUAUGAAAAGCUGAAACAUGAAGCUGUUCUUCUCUGCUGAUACUUUGGAUCUAAAUUGGUAGCUAAUUCUGUUCUGCCUGAGAAAAUGGGAACAUCUCGCUAUUUUAAAAAGAUUUAACCAAUGCUCCUUUUUCAGCAUUUGACAACUGCAGCUCCCAUGCCUCUCUGACAUAGAGUACCUGUCAAAAGUCCCCAUGGGAGCUGGAGCUGUAAAUAUAGUCAUAAGAUGGCACUGUGCUCUAAAAUUCAUGACAUUUCGGAAGACACAGACUAAUUGGUAAAUUGAAAAAUGUUCCCUGUCUCUGGUUGGGAAACUAAUCUGGCCUUAUUAAUCGUGUGAUUAAUGAGACCAACACAGCGACCAUCAGGAAAAAGAAAAGGAGAUGCCUCAGACUUUGCUCUCAUGCUCAGUCAAUUAGUAACUAAACUGCUUCUGAUUUAUCUCCAGACACAGCAAGGGAAGAAAUUAGCUGGUCUUGACUUUUGUAAAGAACAAAAUCUAUCACAACUACAAUCUAAGUGUCCUAAUCAUUAAGGACACAGCCUCUCUAGGAAAGUCACCACUUACAUGUGAAGAAUGAAGGGUAUUAUUACACAUUACACAAUGAGUUCAAAAAAAUUGGACACAAAACAACACUGUCAGUAUUAAUCAUUCAACAGUUGUCCGUUCUUGUUCACGGUCGGAAUUAAAAAACUGGAUGCCGUCAUAAAUGGGACGUCUUUGAAUACACGUGAAUGCAAACAAGGACACAUGAAGUAUGCACUGGAAUCCAGCUGUGUGUAAUGGAGCGUCGCAUAAUCAAUGGGGUUGAUUACACAUCACAAUGGACUGAAAAGCUGUCUAACCAUCCAUGGUCGCUGAGCACAGCGGCAACAAGCGCUGUUCUUGCCGAUGUCUCCCUGUUAGGGGAGAGAGUUCAAACCCCUUAUCUCAGGGUGUGGUCACCAAACAUCCCAUGCAAGCUUCAGGCGAUGUGUACACAUGGAAAAAGCCCCGCGCAUUAUUAGGGCCACAGCUGAGCUGGCCCCUGUAAAUAAAGGUUUGGCCACCAGAAACUUGGAACCAAUCACCCCAUAAAAAGUCUAAGUCUAUUGGGCUUGCCUUUGUCGAUAAAGACAAGGUCACUCUUCACCAAACAUGGUGACAAUGAUGAGACUAAUUCAGCUUAGGAGAUCGUACUAUGGCCUAUUGCCCUGACAACGCAGCUCUUCAGGUCAAAGGGGCGUUCUAAUGAAACACAUCUAUUUGCUAAUUGUCAGAAAGGUGGAUUCAGUAGCAUUUUUGUAAUAUGAGAAUGUCUCUUCCUCUGAAACCCAGAUGAUGGGUGAACUCCCCCCCUUAAUGGAAAUAAAUGUGAAGCAGAAUUAGAAAAUCACAAAAUGGUUCUGGUUGUUUUAUAAAAAUCAUUCUACAAUUAUUCUACUGCACUGAAAAGGGGAACUAAUACAUUUUAGCGAUUGCAGUCAUUUAAUGAAAUGCGGAAAAUUACAGAGCAAUUAGUACAAAAUUGAAAGAAUUUAAUGUUGUAAUGUUGUUACCACGUAAGCUCCAGUGCCUGUGGUAUGAGCAGAACUUCAACCAGAAAUCAAUUACUGUAAAAAAAAAUAUUUAACUAAUGGUGCAAUCACUGCAUAUGGAAAAAUGGCAACAACUUUUCCUUCUUUCAUUUGAACUGAAUAUUUGCAAUUAAAUCGAUUUGUGAGCAGCACCUGAACUGUGUGGUCAAGCUGUGCAGACGUGUGGGGUCGAGGUAAUGGCUGUACUUUAGAUCCUUGGCAGCACGAUUUACUUUGUCGGGUCUUGUUUUUACAUCCGCCCCUAAAAUUAUGUGAUGUACAUAGAAACUCUGAAACUAGUCCUCUCAGGAGCUUACAGCUGUAAAACUGUAUUUCAUUUCUGUUCUGACUUAUUUGUCAAUUUUUAAAUUACUGGCGCUCAAAACCCAAUGUGGAACAUCUUAGAUAUGUUCUUAUUCAGUAUAACUACAACCAAGUGUGUUUUUAAAGACCAUUUAAGGAGCCCUUCGCCAACGAAGCCACUGACAAUGUGCCCCACUGGCUCAACAUUUUUUAAGCUUUUUGGACUUGUUCAAUUUAGUUUUUAAAUAAAUGUCAACUAAUAAUGAUGAGCUGUACCUGAAUCAAGAGUACCUUUAUGGUAAAAAGUACAUAUGCCCUUGAAUUUGACAAUGCUACACUUCAGUUUGAGUUGAAUAUGGAUCAAGGCCAUAAAACUGAGUUAAUGUAACAGGAUACGAAACAACUCACAACUUUGUCACUCAGUGACGUUUGUCGGUUAGAUGCUAACUCAGGUUAGCUCCUUAAGUGAGCUCCUGGGUUAGGUUUUCUGGAUUGAAAAUAUUGGAAUAUAGAUUCAUAUCCAGUGUAUUGACUAGUAAUUGGAUAAUUUUAAACAAAUCCGGACUCAUCUGUGUGCAUUUCGAUGGGAUGUUUAAAGAUCAGAGAUUGAAAUCCCAUUUUAAAAAAAAACAGUUUAAGAAGAGUUGUGGUUUUUCAGUUCUGGAAUUCUGAAUGUGAUAAUGUAGAAACGUAUUUUGUCUACCUGCGAGAUGUGAGCUUGUUAACAACAACAUAAUGGGAACAUUUAUGGCAAAAACAAAAAAAGACUUUAAAUAAAUACAUGCGAUGUGUGAUAAAAUGACUUGUUUAUGCUACUAUAGGACUGAGAGCAAAACUACAUUUGGUAUGCACUGUAAAUAAUGUCUUCAAUACAGUAAAACAACAUGUUAAAUUAAUGACACUUAACAUUUCUCUUAAGUUAAUGUUACAGAGCUCUUUAUACUCUUUAUCAUGAUCAUCUCAUUAAACCUACAAUCUAUCUACAGUCAUGUUUUGAUCCACUGCAGUGGAAUAACAGUCAAAGCAGGCUAUACUGAAUCAAUGACUCUCAUGAAUCAUGUCAGGAAUAAAAGAAUUUCAGCACAAAUAUAUGCAACUGUUUGUUAGAUUCUCAAUCUCAAUUUUAAAUUUAAAUGCUUAAGCUGCAAACUUUUUCUUUAUCCUGUUUCAGGGUCUACUGGUUCGUAAAAUGGACACCUCUGUGUAAAUGCAGUACUUUUGUCCAUGUUAGGAUCCCAUGCAGAGAUUGUCAUUUGAUUCAUAUUUAAUCUCUCCUUGCGUGCCACACUUUCUAAUUACUUUUGAAUGCUCAGAGAGCACGUCGGCCACAUGUCAUUAUGACAUGAACUAUAUUAGAAUGAAAAAAUUGUGGCAAAGAAAAAAGACUGAUUUCUUAUAAAAGUGGACAACACCAUCAAAUAGUUAGUAAGAAUAAAAGUCAAAGGUUUAAUUGUCUAUUUAAGUCUCUGUGCCCAGAGUGAAUCUUACUUACUUUCACAGUGUAUUGUUUUUGUUUAUUUAAGUUAAUAUAUAUUUCAAGAUGUGGACUUUUUUUAUGUCUCUGUUGCCAUUGCAACAAUCCAAUGCCUGAAUUCCUCCAUUUCAGAUGUUAUUGUCUAAUUGUUGCAGAUGUUUGUUUUUUUAUUUUCAAGCAAUUGAUUGCUAUCCGGCUGCACGGUGGUUCUGGGUUCGAAUCCCGGUUCAACCAGGGCCUUUCUGUGUGGAGUUUGCAUGUUCUCCCCGUGUAUGCGUGGGUUCUCUCCGGGUUCUCCGGCUUCUUCCCA
Long non-coding RNA from Scophthalmus maximus (turbot), 12628 nucleotides. RefSeq lists it as uncharacterized. The record is from RefSeq and is a predicted model, not a curated record. NCBI's taxonomy places the organism in Eukaryota, Metazoa, Chordata, Actinopteri, Pleuronectiformes, Scophthalmidae. The transcript has 10 exons.